Non-coding RNA from Camellia sinensis, 4373 nucleotides. The record is from RefSeq and is a predicted model, not a curated record. Lineage: Eukaryota; Viridiplantae; Streptophyta; Magnoliopsida; Ericales; Theaceae.
GAAAAACAUUAAAAUAAAAAUCCCAAAAAUUUUGGCGCCACCAGAUUCCCCGCGAGUUUGGUUCCCUUAUUCUUCUCUCAUCAUGGGCUAUCAGUUCUUAGGGUUUUUGAAGCAAACCAAUUUGAAAGAAAACUGAAUCAUCAAAGACUAUUUAUUGAUCUCAGGUCCCAUAGAGAGAAGAAAGAGAUUCCAGAAUUAAACAGUUUCUCAGGACCUUGAAAGGGUAUGUCAGUAAUAGAGCACGUCCAAAAGGUUCUAUUGCUGAGGAUUACAUUGUCAGAGAGUGUCUUACUUUUUGUUCAAUGUACUUAAAAGGGAUUGAUAAACCCGAAUGAAAUGAUGAUGGUGGUAAACGCAGUCCAGGGAUGGAGGUCUUCACCAAAAAUGCUUGUUUAUUCUCACAUAUCACAAGGGUUCUUAACCCUUCGCAAAAUGAACAAGAAAUGGCUCAUUGGUUUGUGUUAUACAAUAACUCUGAGGUGGAGCCAUAUAUUGAGAAGUAGAAGACUAUUGUGCGUAAUCUACAAGGACGUGACAUAACUCCGGUACAACAAGAAGAAUUUCCAAAAGGGUUCAAAAAUUGUAUGAAUGAUUUGCAAACGAAAGGGUCACCUGAAGCAACUAAUGAAUUAUGUCAUUAGCAAAUGGUCUUGGAUUGUUGCAAAGAUGUCCAGAAAUGGUAAAUUAUUUUUGAAGCCUAGCGGCUUGGUCCAGAAGAUGACAAAAUAUGAGAAGGAUAGAAAAAAAAAACAAUUCAAAAAAAUAAAAUCAGAUUUGAUGCUCUAGGGAUAAAGUCCCUCAAGAAUUCAAUGUUUGGUUCUAUUGAAAAGGACAAUAGUAAAAGUUCUAGGGUGGGAAAGAGAAAGGCGGUGAAACUAAUAAUGACAAGGACUAUCAACCACUUGAUGAUCAUGAAAGACUGAGUUCUUCAAGUGAUGAUGGCAAGCCUUUUGAUUCUCAAGUGAUUGAGGAUAUUCAUAUGGGUCCUGGUAAGAAAACAAAUAGGUCCGCAGCUCGCCUAAUAGCUUCACAAAUACCUAGAGAAGAGAGAAGUACUCUUGAUGAAGAUACACUUACUCUUCCGAGACGACCUUUACCAGCACAAGUUAAUCAUUCAGAGAGCACACCUAAGGUGUGGACCCAACCUAUCCAUCUUCCCGCCUUAUGUACUAGGCCCGAUCAGCUCCUUACCUUAGCCACUCAACCUAAACACCUUUCGAGCCCAUGUGCUGUGACUAACAGUGGAGCAUCAAUUCCAGUUUUGGGCAAGAAGCGUGUACGAGGACCGACCUGAGGAAAUAAUGUGGAGAAGAUUAGAAAGGAACGUGGUAAUCGCAUAGCCAUUACACUUAAUCGUUUGACCAAAGCAAUAGAAAAGGGAUUACGCCACACCGCUAGCAGCUGCUCUUGGUCAACAAAUUUGAGUUCAUGCCCCAGUUCGAAAUGAUGAAUGGAUAGCCAUUGCCUUUGGGUUAAGAGAGUCCAUUGUUACAAGAGUUGAGUAAACUUUUGACUUUGGGGAUUACAAUCAUGAUGUGGAUGUGAGAUGUAUUAUUGAUCAGAAGUGCCAAACUUUAUACAAUGAACGGCAAAGUAGAUUACACAUGCACUACAAAUCCUUUAAAGAAGAGAAAUUGGAAAUGGAUGAUUAACAAUCUAUGGAAAACUGAUGAUUGGAAGGAAAAAUCAGAGAAUGCGAUGAAAGCAAGAUGUUGUGUGGAGUAUAAUCAUACGAGUGACUCGAGAUCGUUUACGUCAUGAGCAUAUAUCCUUGCAAGUGUAGAUAUACAAAUUUGAACAUACUAAAUUAUAAAUACAGAAUUAUUGGUUGACUGUAAAAUCUAAUGAAAUGAAAGGUACAAGGAAGCAAACCAACUAUUACGAUCACACCCACAAACUACCGACACGGGGGAGUGUGGAUAAAUAGCUCAGUUGAGGAACAUCAUGCCACUAUGGUUUCAAAGAUCGCUGAGCAAUCUCAACCUAGUAUCACACAUCCAUUAUCAAAGGAGCAGAUUUUCGGGGAAAUACUUGGGAAAAGGUCGGUCUACUUGAAGGGAUAUGGGAUCCGCAAGGACACUACUUCAUCUUCCACACAUUUUGAAGCUCCUAACUCUGAGGUGAUUGUUCUUCAACAGUAGUUAGUUGACUAACGACAACAAUUGGCUGACCAGGAAAAGCAGUACUUGACCAGGCUCAAAACAUGAGUACAAUGCAAGCUGUUAUUCAAAUGUUGGUUGCAAAAAAUAGGAUAGAUCUAGCAAACAUUCCGGGGUUAGUUCCAAGCAACAGUGUCGGGGAGGAUGCAUUAGGUGUAAGAGAAGAUGAAAUUUCUCUCGGUUGAAAUAGAGGUUAGUGUGUUUCUGGUGCUGGUUUGUUGUUUGAAUAGGUGCUGGUGCUGGUGCUAGUGCUGGUGCUGGUUUGCUAUUACUGGUCUGAUGGUCUUAGUAAGAGGGCCUUGCUGGUCUGCUGUAGUUGCUGGUUUGCUGUUGAAAAUUUGAUUUCGUUUUUGUUUUCGCUUUUGCUGUUAUUAUGGUUUUGAUUCAACAAAAUUUAAGAAAUUAAAAGAUUUGUCCACUCAACCUAUGGGGCCUCUAAUUGGUGUUACUUAUACUAGCAAGACGGGGAAUUUGUGCCUCUUAUUUUCCUUCAUUUUGCUGUUGUUAAGUAGUUUUGGAUCGUGUAGCAUACUGUUCUUCAAAGCACUAACCAUAUUAUUAUUGUUACUUUAUAUUCUUGCAAAAGUACAACAGCCACUGCAUUUAUACUUGUCGAGUAACAAUCCAAAAAGUAUUGAAAGUGCAAAGCUUUUGGCUAAAACCCUUUUGGAUACAAUCAGCAUAGAGUGUCGUGCCUCUAGGUAAUUAGGUUUAAUUUUUGCUUAUGUUUAUAUUAGAGUAUGUAUGAAUAUUCUCAAUAGGAGAAUUAUGUCCUCUAAAAUUUGUUGAGGGUAACUUAGAUUUGUUCUUUUCUUAAUUGAUAGGUACUUGGAGAAUGUAAGCAUUUUUGGUAAUAUGUUGGCAUAACAUUUUUUAUCCUCUUUUGAGAGUUCAUAUGAUGGCCUGUUUGGUGCGACUAAAAGUUAAUAAUUAGAAAGCGGAAACUAAAAGCACCCAUCCCCGAUAAUCAACCUAUUUUUGCCUCAUUAGUUGUAAGCAAAAAGCUACAAUUCACCAAACACACCAGCUCAAACUCCUAAAAUUUUAAAAAAAAUUAGCAAUCCUUAUAAGCUACACUAAACAGGUUGAGCUCUUAGAAGAUAGAUAAACUUUUUGUUCUUUUUUUUUUUAAAAUAAUAUUUACAAUUUAGAAAUAUUUGUGUUUCAUUGAGCAUGAAGUAUUCAAUACUCCUUUUCUUUGCAAUAGUAUUUUUUUUUGUUGUUGAAGGGACUUUGUCACAAUCCAUAGGAUUGAGCUACACAUCCUGGCAUCCUGCCAUUAAUCCUUAGAUACACAUCCUGGCAUCACCACUACCCUUCUUCAACGGACUUUGUCACAAUCCAUAGGAUUGAGUUGCCAUUAAUCCUUAGCUACACAUCUUGGUUUAUUUGUUACAUUACAUAAUUGAAAGAAAUGUUUGUUUACUUUUGAUUUUAAUGAAACUAUGGCCCUUGAUCCAAUGGAAUGGAAAAACUGAAGUCAUGUUACCCGCCCCAAGUAGUUGGGAAUAAGGCUUUGCUGUAGCUAUUGGUCUGCUACUGUUGCUGUUGCUUGCUAGUCUAUUGCAGCUGCUGGUUUACAGCUAUUGCUGCUGCCCUGGUGGCUGCUGCUUGUUGGGCUACUGCUGCUGCAAUGUUACUGUGAAGUGGCUGCUAGUAAAUGCUUGUCUACUGCAAUGUUGUUACUGCAAUGGUUCUAUCCCUAGCCCUGGCUCUGUUUUGGGGCAUCGUCGAACCUACAUUGGUGCAAUGCCAGGAAAGAUGGUUCAAUGCUUGAAAAAUGUGGGAACAACUAACCCUCCUGUGCUGAUCAAUGAGAUUGACAAGUUAGGAAGAGGACAUGCAUGUGAUUCGACAAGUGCUAUGUUGGAACUCCUUGAUCUAGAGCAAAAUGCAAAUUUUCUAGAUCACUAUCUUGAUGUUCCAAUAGACUUAUCAAAGGUUAGUUAUUGUGGUGGGGGUUUCCAUCCAUGAUAUUUGUCUUACAAGUGGAGGUUCUUAUUUUUCCCAAGUGUUCUGCUGAAAACUAACAAUUCAUAGGGUUGUGUUUGGAAUGUUUAGCUUCAUCAUCAAUUAGUCUGGACCCAACUCCAAACCUAACAAGCUUCACCAAAUUGCUUCAUUGUUUCUUUGUCAUAUUUCUGCAUGUUUGUGUAAUUUUCAUACUAAGAUAGUUGGAUGCCAAGACUCAUGUUGACUUUUAGUCUUUUUUUA